UACGUAGGGUGCAAGCGUUGUCCGGAAUUAUUGGGCGUAAAGAGCUCGUAGGCGGUCUGUCGCGUCGGAUGUGAAAACCCAGGGCUCAACCCUGGGCCUGCAUUCGAUACGGGCAGACUAGAGUUCGGUAGGGGAGACUGGAAUUCCUGGUGUAGCGGUGAAAUGCGCAGAUAUCAGGAGGAACACCGAUGGCGAAGGCAGGUCUCUGGGCCGAUACUGACGCUGAGGAGCGAAAGCGUGGGGAGCGAACAGG
This 253-nucleotide ribosomal RNA is filed under the name uncultured bacterium. Its description in RNAcentral is "partial 16S ribosomal RNA". It matches the Rfam family "Bacterial small subunit ribosomal RNA", at positions 524 to 776 of the family's 1533-position model. The record is from RNAcentral.